AAAUUGAAGAGUUUGAUCAUGGCUCAGAUUGAACGCUGGCGGCAGGCCUAACACAUGCAAGUCGAGCGGCAGCGGGAAAGUAGCUUGCUACUUUUGCCGGCGAGCGGCGGACGGGUGAGUAAUGCCUGGGAAAUUGCCCAGUCGAGGGGGAUAACAGUUGGAAACGACUGCUAAUACCGCAUACGCCCUACGGGGGAAAGCAGGGGACCUUCGGGCCUUGCGCGAUUGGAUAUGCCCAGGUGGGAUUAGCUAGUUGGUGAGGUAAUGGCUCACCAAGGCGACGAUCCCUAGCUGGUCUGAGAGGAUGAUCAGCCACACUGGAACUGAGACACGGUCCAGACUCCUACGGGAGGCAGCAGUGGGGAAUAUUGCACAAUGGGGGAAACCCUGAUGCAGCCAU
This 400-nucleotide ribosomal RNA is filed under the name Aeromonas hydrophila. RNAcentral's name for it is "bacterial SSU rRNA". It matches the Rfam family "Bacterial small subunit ribosomal RNA", at positions 1 to 395 of the family's 1533-position model. The record is from RNAcentral. Lineage: Bacteria; Pseudomonadati; Pseudomonadota; Gammaproteobacteria; Aeromonadales; Aeromonadaceae.